This 320-nucleotide long non-coding RNA is filed under the name Mytilus galloprovincialis (Mediterranean mussel). The record is from RNAcentral. Lineage: Eukaryota; Metazoa; Mollusca; Bivalvia; Mytilida; Mytilidae.
AAACUCGGCAUUCAAUUAAACGCAGGACUUCGGGAAUGUCCGGAGAGCCGACAACCUUGCUUCGGAAGUUGAUACAAUACAUAAUACAUAGUGAUGACCAACUCCAUUUUUUUCAAUAACAAGCUUAAGGCUUUUAACUUUACCAAAUUGUUUGUCAUCCAUUGGCCUUUAGCAGCUAACUGAAAGGAACGAAUUUUUCUGAUUGAUAUGGUAGUAAGGUGACCAAGCCUUAAGUUUAAUAUUUAUAGAUUAUAAAUAGUUAAUUGUCUCAUUGACAUUGAUACCACAUCUCCGUAUUCUAGUACAUAAAUUAAAAGUCC